AUCCUUUUGUAGUUCAUGAGUGUGAUGAUCGGGUGUUCAUACGGUUGUGUGAGAUGUGCCACCCUUGAACCUUGUUACGACGUGGGCACACUACCCUUCUGACC
RNAcentral lists this small nucleolar RNA (104 nucleotides) under Nomascus leucogenys (northern white-cheeked gibbon). Its description in RNAcentral is "Small nucleolar RNA U13 (ENSNLEG00000028411.1)". It matches the Rfam family "Small nucleolar RNA U13". The record is from Rfam by way of RNAcentral. Lineage: Eukaryota; Metazoa; Chordata; Mammalia; Primates; Hylobatidae.